This 484-nucleotide ribosomal RNA is filed under the name uncultured bacterium. RNAcentral describes it as "partial 16S ribosomal RNA". It matches the Rfam family "Bacterial small subunit ribosomal RNA", at positions 28 to 507 of the family's 1533-position model. The record is from RNAcentral.
AUUGAACGCUGGCGGCAUGCUUUACACAUGCAAGUCGAACGGCAGCGCGGGCUUCGGCCUGGCGGCGAGUGGCGAACGGGUGAGUAAUGCAUCGGAACGUGCCCAGUAGCGGGGGAUAGCCCGGCGAAAGCCGGAUUAAUACCGCAUACGACCUGAGGGUGAAAGCGGGGGACCGAAAGGCCUCGCGCUAUUGGAGCGGCCGAUGUCGGAUUAGCUAGUUGGUGGGGUAAAGGCUUACCAAGGCGACGAUCCGUAGCUGGUCUGAGAGGACGACCAGCCACACUGGGACUGAGACACGGCCCAGACUCCUACGGGAGGCAGCAGUGGGGAAUUUUGGACAAUGGGGGCAACCCUGAUCCAGCCAUGCCGCGUGCGGGAAGAAGGCCUUCGGGUUGUAAACCGCUUUUGUUCGGGAAGAAAUCCUCUGGGCUAAUACCCCGGGGGGAUGACGGUACCGGAAGAAUAAGCACCGGCUAACUACGUG